Molecule: ribosomal RNA, 274 nt
Filed under: uncultured bacterium
Lineage: Bacteria
Description: partial 16S ribosomal RNA
Rfam family: Bacterial small subunit ribosomal RNA
Source: RNAcentral
ACACGAACCGUACAAACGUUAUUCGGAAUCACUGGGCUUAAAGGGUGCGUAGGCGGCUUGGAAAGUUGGGUGUGAAAUCCCUCGGCUCAACCGAGGAAUUGCGCUCAAUACUGCCAGGCUAGAGGGAGACAGAGGUGAGCGGAACUUAGGGUGGAGCGGUGAAAUGCGUUGAUAUCCUAAGGAACACCAGUGGCGAAGGCGGCUCACUGGGUCUCUUCUGACGCUGAGGCACGAAAGCUGGGGGAGCGAACGGGAUUAGAAACCCGGGUAGUCC